AUUGAACGCUGGCGGCAUGCCUUACACAUGCAAGUCGAACGGCAGCACGGGAGCAAUCCUGGUGGCGAGUGGCGAACGGGUGAGUAAUAUAUCGGAACGUGCCCAGUCUGGGGGAUAACGUAGCGAAAGCUACGCUAAUACCGCAUACGAUCUACGGAUGAAAGCGGGGGAUCGCAAGACCUCGCGCGAUUGGAGCGGCCGAUAAUCAGAUUAGGUAGUUGGUGAGGUAAAGGCUCACCAAGCCGACGAUCUGUAGCUGGUCUGAGAGGACGACCAGCCACACUGGGACUGAGACACGGCCCAGACUCCUACGGGAGGCAGCAGUGGGGAAUUUUGGACAAUGGGCGCAAGCCUGAU
This 357-nucleotide ribosomal RNA is filed under the name uncultured bacterium. Its description in RNAcentral is "bacterial SSU rRNA". It matches the Rfam family "Bacterial small subunit ribosomal RNA", at positions 30 to 387 of the family's 1533-position model. The record is from RNAcentral.